AGAGUUUGAUCAGUGGCUCGAGGACGAACGCUGGCGGCGUGCUUAACACAUGCAAGUCGAACGGUAAGGCCCUUCGGGGUACACGAGUGGCGAACGGGUGAGUAACACGUGGGUGAUCUGCCCUGCACUUUGGGAUAAGCCUGGGAAACUGGGUCUAAUACCGAAUAGGACCAUGGACUUCACGGUUUGUGGUGGAAAGCUUUUGCGGUGUGGGAUGGGCCCGCGGCCUAUCAGCUUGUUGGUGGGGUAAUGGCCUACCAAGGCGACGACGGGUAGCCGGCCUGAGAGGGUGACCGGCCACACUGGGACUGAGAUACGGCCCAGACUCCUACGGGAGGCAGCAGUGGGGAAUAUUGCACAAUGGGCGCAAGCCUGAUGCAGCGACGCCACGUGAGGGAUGACGGCCUUCGGGUUGUAAACCUCUUUCAGCACAGACGAAGCGCAAGUGACGGUAUGUGCAGAAGAAGGACCGGCCAACUACGUG
Molecule: ribosomal RNA, 484 nt
Filed under: uncultured bacterium
Lineage: Bacteria
Description: bacterial SSU rRNA
Rfam family: Bacterial small subunit ribosomal RNA
Source: RNAcentral